AUGUUUGUAUUGACAUGAAUACUUUGUUAAUCAAGGUACUGGAAAUGGAAUGAUAAAAUCUCUUCUCGAUUCAGCUGGUCAACCCUGUACAGCUGCUUAUGCUAUGCUUGCUGUCAUUCAAGGUGUAGUUUUAUAUGAUAUUUUCUUUUAGAAAUCUGCUUUUGUUUAUUAACUGAAAUUCUGUUGCAUAAUCCAUUUUUCGCAGGGCAUAAACGCUCUCUGGAUGUAGCCACAAUCUGGCAAGGGCAGUCUAAAUUUUUCAGUGUCCUGAUGCUUGCAUGGGGACUGAUAGCUGACAUAGAUAUCGAGUCUGAGCAGUAUCGGUGGAUGGGAAGUGCUCGAAUGGAUUUAUAUGUUGAUAGAAGAUACAAACAAUAUUAUCAUCAAAUGCAGAUAAUUAUAUCAUCA
Long non-coding RNA from Helianthus annuus (common sunflower), 408 nucleotides. RefSeq lists it as uncharacterized. The transcript is spliced from 3 exons. NCBI's taxonomy places the organism in Eukaryota, Viridiplantae, Streptophyta, Magnoliopsida, Asterales, Asteraceae. The record is from RefSeq and is a predicted model, not a curated record.